RNAcentral lists this unclassified non-coding RNA (168 nucleotides) under Pochonia chlamydosporia var. spinulospora. RNAcentral's name for it is "ITS1". The record is from RNAcentral. Lineage: Eukaryota; Fungi; Ascomycota; Sordariomycetes; Hypocreales; Clavicipitaceae.
CCGAGUUUUCAACUCCCCAAACCCCAUGUGAACUUAUACCAUUUACACCGUUGCUUCGGCGGGUUCUCGCCCCGGGCUUUACAACCCCGGAACCAGGCGGCCCGCCGGGGGACCCAAACUCUAGAUUUUAUUUUAGCAUGUCUGAGUGGAAUCAUUACAAAAUGAAUC